Molecule: ribosomal RNA, 1449 nt
Filed under: uncultured Bordetella sp.
Lineage: Bacteria; Pseudomonadati; Pseudomonadota; Betaproteobacteria; Burkholderiales; Alcaligenaceae
Description: partial 16S-23S ribosomal RNA intergenic spacer
Rfam family: Bacterial small subunit ribosomal RNA
Source: RNAcentral
GGCAGUUUGAUUCUGGCCUGUAGAUUGAACGCUGGCGGGAUGCUUUACACAUGCAAGUCGAACGGCAGCACGGACUUCGGUCUGCGGCGAGUGGCGAACGGGUGAGUAAUGUAUCGGAACGUCGAAGAAGCGGGGGUGAUAAACUGCUGCGAAAGCGUAGCCAAUACCGCAUACGCCCUUCGGGGGAAAGCGGGGACCUUUCGGGCCUGCACUAGAGCGGCCGAUACUGAUUAGCUAUUGGUGCAGCAACGGCUCACCAAGGCGACGAUCCGUAGCUGGUCGGAGAUGACGACCAGCCACACUGGGACCGGACACGGCCCCAGACUCCUACGAGGCAGCAGUGGGGAAUUUUGGACAAUGGGAAAACCCCUGAUCCAAGUCGCAUAAUUCCGCGUGUGAUGUCAAGGCCUUCGGGUUGUAAAGCACUUUUGGCAGGAAAGAAACGGCACGGGAUAACUGCAUAACUGACAUUAUGCCUGGGCAGAAUAAGCACCGGCUAACUACGCGCCAGCAGCCGCGGUAAUACGUAGGGUGCAAGCGUUAAUCGGAAAUUAUCAGCGCUGCGCAGGCGGUUCGAAAGAAAGAUGAAACCCGUAUUUAACUUUGGAACUGCAUUUUUAACUACCGAGCUGAGCGUGUCAGGAGGGAGGUGAAUUCCGCGUGUAGCAGUGAAAUGCGCAUGCGUGGAGGAACACUGAUGGCGAAGGCAGCCUCCUGGGACACUGACGCUCAUACACGCCAGCGUGGGGAGCAACAGGAUUAGAUACCCUGGUAGUCCACCCCAAACGAUGUCAACUAGCUGUUGGGGCCUUCGCCUUGGUAGCGCAGCUAACGUAUGCGGUUGACCGCCUUGGGGAGAAAGCCGGUCGCAAGAUUAAAACUCAAAGGAAUUGACGGGGACCCGCACAAGCGGUGGAUGAUGUGGAUUAAUUCGAUGCAACGCGAAAAACUCACCUACCCUUUGACAUGUCUGAACCUGAAGACGGGAGUGCUCGCAAGAGAACCGGAACACAGGUGCUGCAUGGCUGUCGUCAGCUCGUGCUGAGGAUGUCAUUAAAUCCGGCAACGAUGCAACCUGCUGUUGCUGCUACGAAAGGGCACUCUAUCAGACUGCCGGUGACAAACCGAGGAAGGUGGGGAUGACGUCAAGUCCUCAUGGCCCUUAUGUAAGGGUCACACGUCAUACAAUGGUCGGGACAGAGGGUCGCCAACCCGCGAGGGGGAGCCAAUCCCAGAAACCCGAUCGUAGUCCGGAUCGCAGUCUGCACCGACCGCGAAGUCGGAAUCGCUAUAAUCGCGGAUCAGCAUGUCGCGGUGAAUACGUUCCCGGGUCUUGUACACACCGCCCGUCACACCAUGGGAGUGGGUUUUACCAGAAGUAGUUAGCCUAACCGUAAGGAGGGCGAUUACCACAGAGAUUCACGAUCUGGGGCAGUCGUAACAAGGUAG